CACGUGUGCAACCAACCCCGUACCGGGAGAUAACCCGCGGAAACGUGGACUAACACCCCAUAACACCUUUCCCCCGCAUGGGGGGGAGUUUAAAACCCCGGUGGUACGGGACGGGCACGCGCGACAUUAGGUAGUUGGCGGGGUAACGGCCCACCAAGCCGACGAUGUCUAGGGGUUCUGAGAGGAAGGUCCCCCACACUGGAACUGAGACACGGUCCAGACUCCUACGGGAGGCAGCAGUGAGGAAUAUUGGUCAAUGGGCGAGAGCCUGAACCAGCCAAGUCGCGUGAGGGAAGAAUGGUCUAUGGCCUGUAAACCUCUUUUGUCAAGGAAGAAUAAGCGGCACGAGUGCCACCUUGCCAGUACUUGACGAAUAAGCAUCGGCUAACUCCGUGCCAGCAGCCGCGGUAAUACGGGGGAUGCGAGCGUUAUCCGGAUUUAUUGGGUUUAAAGGGCGCGUAGGCGGGACGGCAAGUCAGCGGUAAAAGACUGCAGCUAAACUGUAGCACGCCGUUGAAACUGUCGACCUGGAGACGAGACGAGGGAGGCGGAACAAGUGAAGUAGCGGGGAAAUGCAUAGAUAUCACUUGGAACCCCGAUAGCGAAGGCAGCUUCCCAGGCUCGAUCUGACGCUGAUGCGCGAGAGCGUGGGUAGCGAACAGGAUUAGAUACCCUGGUAGUCCACGCCGUAAACGAUGCUCACUGGAUCUCGGCGAUACACGGCCAGGGUUCAAGCGAAAGUAUUAAGUGAGCCACCUGGGGAGUACGUCGGCAACGAUGAAACUCAAAGGAAUUGACGGGGGCCCGCACAAGCGGAGGAACAUGUGGUUUAAUUCGAUGAUACGCGAGGAACCUUACCCGGGUUUAAAUGCAGGUUGCAUGAGGUGGAAACACCUCUUUCCCUCGGGACUACCUGCAAGGUGCUGCAUGGUUGUCGUCAGCUCGUGCCGUGAGGUGUCGGGUUAAGUCCCAUAACGAGCGCAACCCCUAUCGCCAGUUGCCAUCGGUUCAAGCCGGGCACUCUGUCGAGACUGCCACCGUAAGGUGCGAGGAAGGCGGGGAUGACGUCAAAUCAGCACGGCCCUUACACCCGGGGCGACACACGUGUUACAAUGGCCGGUACAGAGGGCAGCCACGGGGCGACCCGGAGCGAAUCUCUAAAGCCGGUCGUAGUUCGGACUGGAGUCUGCAACCCGACUCCACGAAGUUGGAUUCGCUAGUAAUCGCGCAUCAGC
This 1235-nucleotide ribosomal RNA is filed under the name metagenome. Its description in RNAcentral is "bacterial SSU rRNA". It matches the Rfam family "Bacterial small subunit ribosomal RNA", at positions 114 to 1353 of the family's 1533-position model. The record is from RNAcentral.